CCCUACGGGGCGCAGCAGUGGGGAAUAUUGCACAAUGGGGGAAACCCUGAUGCAGCAACGCCGCGUGAGUGAAGAAGUAUUUCGGUAUGUAAAGCUCUAUCAGCAGGGAAGAAAAUGACAGUACCUGACUAAGAAGCCCCGGCUAACUACGUGCCAGCAGCCGCGGUAAUACGUAGGGGGCAAGCGUUAUCCGGAUUUACUGGGCGUAAAGGGAGCGCAGACGGCAGGGCAAGUCUGGUGUGAAAGGCAGGGGCCCAACCCCUGGACUGCUCUGGAAACUGUCCGGCUGGAGUGCAGGAGAGGUA
Molecule: ribosomal RNA, 305 nt
Filed under: uncultured bacterium
Lineage: Bacteria
Description: bacterial SSU rRNA
Rfam family: Bacterial small subunit ribosomal RNA
Source: RNAcentral